ACGAAUUGUUCUGGUUCAGUGACAGAGUGGGUUUUCGGAGGGAAAGCACCAGGGAAAACAACACCAACCAGCAGACGUGGCGCUUUAAAGCACAGACUUGUGCCUAGAAAGCACAGGGCAAAAGAUAAGUGUGGAUGAGCACUUGGUGAGGAAAUCCAAAUAAAUGCUAGUAGCAUUGGGUUCUAUUUCUGUACAAAUAUUUUCUGUUAAAAGCUUAGCUAAUUAAGCAUAUUUAUUGUCAAGAGGAUAACAUUAUUAACUAGCUACAUCUUAUUGACUGCCAGGAAUAAAUGUAUAGAAAGAAAAUGAAGUUAAGAGGACAUUAUGUUUAAUAACUAUAUUGUUUCUGUCUGAUUUUGAUCAAUUGUGUGGGGGUAAAAGUUUUAAUUGUUUCCAUUUAUUUAAGUUUUAGAAAACUGGCUCAGUAUUUCAAAUUACAGAAUUCAUCAAAUGGAAGAGUUAAUAAAAGUUUUUAGCCGUUAUUAAUGGUCCCAGUUUAUAUUAUAUGUUGAGGAAGCAAAUUAGUUUCAUGAAUGACAGGAUUUGAGCGCAACCUCAUUUUUAAUUUCUUUAAUUUAUUGAAGUUCCUCCAUUCAGAGGAAAUAAACCCAUAUAAGAAAAGGACGCCAUUAUAGGGAUGAAAAUGGGGCUUUGACUAAAUUAGAUGAUACCAUCCCAGGAAGUUCUUCCAUCACUGGGGAACUGGUGUUAUGGAACCGGUUGGGAAAUCUGUAACACAAGUUCUCAGAAAUGGUUAUCCUUCCCCACCCAACCGAAGUGGCUUCAUGACACUCCCUUGGGUGGAGGAGUGGGGAACCUGUGCCUCUUCAGAUGUUGAUGAACUACAGAUACCAUCAUCUCUCGCCCCUGGCCAUGCUGACUGGGGCUGAUGGGAUUUGCACUCCACCAACAUCUGGAGGGCCACAGGUUCCCCAUCCUUCCUCUGGGGUGCCUGGGACAUGGAAGUUGUCUUGCUAAUGGAAGGAAAAAUCAGUUAAGUGUCAAAAUGGAUGGUGCUUUGCGAAUCGAUAUAUGGUGCCAUAAUUCAUAGAAAAGAUGAGACCGAGGGGAGAGAUAAUAUCCAUCUUCAGAUUUCAAGGGCUGUCCCAUGGAAGAUGGAACAAGCUUGUUUUCUCCUGCUCUGAACCAAUGGCUUCAAGUCACAAGAAAUGAGAUUCCGACUCAACAUCGGGAAGGACUUUGUGACAGUAAGAGCUGUUCGACUGUGGAACAGUCUCCCUUGGGAGGUUGUGGACUCUCCUUCCUUGGAGGUUUCUAAGCAGAGGUUGGAUGGCCAUCUGUCAUGGAUGCUUUAGCUGAGAUUCCUGCAUUGCAGGGGGGUUGGUCUAGAUGACCCUAGGGAUCCCUUCCAAAUGUACAAUUCUAUUAUUCAUUCCUCUUUGCCUAUUUUGAUUUCCCCCUUGUGUUUUCCCCAAAACUUUGUUCUGUAUUUAUUAAUUAUUAUUUUUCUUCUCCAAAAUCAGUGUGUGCAGCAAUCAUUACCUUUGCUGUAUUACGUUUUGCAGGCAGAAUUAUUUUUUGUUAGUUUGGCCAGGUUAAGCUUUGUAAUUCAUUUUCAUUAUUCAAUUUGAGUGCCUGGGCAUUUUUGUUUUGUUUGUUUUUAAAAGUCAAAUUUGGUGGGUAUUAAGGGAGGGGGGAAGUCAGUUUUGAUUUGUAGCUAUUUAUUCCAAAAUGUAAAAUAUAAUUUGUCCCCCAUAUGAGAAGUCAUGUUUAUUUCAAAGAGGAACACCUGUCAGGCUUCUGGUAUUGAGUUAGUCGCAUUAUUGAAGUGGCAGAUUAAAUCUAAGCUAUUUCUGCCCUUUUAACAUACUGAUUUUUAUUGACUUUGUCAAUAGGAUACCAAAGGAAAUGAAUACAAAAGAAAACUAUGAAUUGGAUCCAAAGUUGUAAUUGGCAGAGUUUUGCUAGUGCUGAAGGAAGGCUGUGAAGAUUUUGGCAGAUUCCUCAUUGCCCCCUUGCCAUCUCAUGCCUCAUGAAAAAUUGCACAGAGAUCCUGGUAGAUGUUUAUUGAAUUUUCUAUUAUGAUUUUUCCCAGUGUUCUGAACUUUUGAAAUAAGUCAUUUUUUAAUGAUGAAGUUGCUAAAGCAAACAAUGUCUCUUUGGGAACUCACCAUGCUUUGGUUUAGCACAGAGUGUGCUGUGUAUCCUCUCAUUAUGACUUGCUUGCAUAUCCUUUUGAUUUUACAAGGCUCAGAUCAGAUCCUAUGGUUAAAAUUGGGGGGUGGUAGAGACAACAGAAGACAUUGUUAACCUCUUUCCAAAAUCACUGUUAACCUCUUUCCUCUGGGAGGAAUGGAGACUGAAACGUUUACCUCUUGAUUCCGCUUUAAUCCUGAUAUCUCAACACUCUUCCUUUCACACAGCAGCCAAAUGAGGUUCAUUUGCUAUGUGGGAAACAGUGGUAUUAUAUAAACUUGGGGACUUUUACCGUAAUCCAGGGGUCAGCAAACUUUUUCAGCAGGGGGCCGGUCCACUGU
Non-coding RNA from Podarcis lilfordi (Lilford's wall lizard), 2498 nucleotides. The record is from the annotation of a GenBank genome assembly. Lineage: Eukaryota; Metazoa; Chordata; Lepidosauria; Squamata; Lacertidae.